RNAcentral lists this ribosomal RNA (420 nucleotides) under uncultured bacterium. RNAcentral describes it as "bacterial SSU rRNA". It matches the Rfam family "Bacterial small subunit ribosomal RNA", at positions 356 to 773 of the family's 1533-position model. The record is from RNAcentral.
GAGGAAUAUUGGUCAAUGGACGCAAGUCUGAACCAGCCAUGUCGCGUGCAGGAAGACGGCCCUAUGGGUUGUAAACUGCUUUUGUACGGGAAUAAAACCAGUUACGAGUAACUGGCUGAAGGUACCGUACGAAUAAGGAUCGGCUAACUCCGUGCCAGCAGCCGCGGUAAUACGGAGGAUCCGAGCGUUAUCCGGAUUUAUUGGGUUUAAAGGGUGCGUAGGCGGACUGGUAAGUCAGUGGUGAAAUGCUGCAGCUCAACUGUAGAAUUGCCAUUGAUACUGUCAGUCUUGAGUACAGAUGAGGUAGGCGGAAUGUGGUGUGUAGCGGUGAAAUGCUUAGAUAUACCACAGAACACCGAUUGCGAAGGCAGCUUACUAAACUGACACUGACGCUGAAGCACGAAAGCGUGGGUAUCAAAC